CAAAAAAAAAAAAAAAAGAGUCUGGAUGCAGUGGCUCACGCCCGUUAUCCCAGCCCUUUGGGAGGCCAAGGUGGUUGGAUCACCUGAGGGCGGGAGUUCGAGACUAGCCUGACCAACAUGGAGAAACCCCAUCUCUACUAAAAAUACAAAAAAUUAGCCGGGCGUGGCGGUGCAUUCUUGUAAUCCCAGCUACUCAGAGGCUGAGGUAGGAGAAUUGUUUGAACCCGAGAGGCGGAGGUUGCGGUGAGCCAAGAUCACGCCAUUGCACUCUAGCCUGCGCAACAAGAGCAAAAGUCCAUCUCAAGAAAAAAAAAAAAGAAAAGAAAAGAAAAAUUCUAGAUUUACAGAACCCACUCGGCCGUCCUGUCAUUGGUAAUGUGUCAGCCUCUCCACACACACCAGCAUCUGCCUGGCGGGGGUGAGUCAUACUCAUCUCGGGUAUCCAGGAGCCUCCCACUCAGAGCACUUGCUCCAUGAAUGAAUGCAGAGGCUCAUGAGAAGAGGAGUGUAGUGAGGAUAGACUUGUGCUUGCCUGGCAUUUCUGGGGCCCAGGCCUCCCCAUUCUGUGCCCAUGUGGCUCUAGAAAGGCCAAAGCCACCUCCUCUACAGAGCUGGGCACACUAGCCAGCAUCGCUGGCCAAAGCUAGCCCAGGCCUUCCCAGAGCAAUGAGGAAAAAAGACCCAGCACUUUCUUCCCAGGGGGUUCUGAAGUCAAGGGUGUGAGUCUGGUAGUGAUCCUGCCCAAGGAUGAAGUCAACUCUGCAGAGCAGUGCUGAGAAAUGGAAAGAGGAAGAUUCCAGACAGGAAGGGUGGAGUGCCUGGAUCCAGCCAUGCCUGGGGCCUCAGAUCACCCUCCAACUUUGAGGCUUGUAUAAGAAAGCUGAGAUUACCUUUACUCGUAUCAACCAAAAUGGAAGCAUCCCAGCUUCUAUCAGCAGGAGAAUGGCAAACAAAUGUGGGACAAUGUGGAUGAAUGUCAAAAACAGGAGGUGAGUGAAAGACGCUAGACACAGAAGUAGAUGCUAUGUGACUUCAUGUAAAAUGCUAGAACAGGCAAAAUAGGUCUACAUUUAAAAAAUAAAAACUGGGGUGGGGCGCGAUGGCUCAUGCCUGUAAUCCCAGCACUUUGGGAGGUGAGCAGAUCACCUGAGAUCAGGAGUUCGAGAUCAGCCUGGCCAAAAUGGUGAAACCCCAUCUCUACUAAAAUUAGUAGGGCGUGGUAGUGCGUGCCUGUAAUCCCAGCUACUUGGGAGGCUAAGGCAGGAGAACUGCUUGAACCCGGGAGGCGGAGGUUGCAGUGGACUGAGAUUGCGCCAUCGUACUCUAGCCUGGGUGACAGAGUGAGACUCCAUCUAAAAAAACAAAAAACCAAAAAAAAAAAGAAAAAACAGCCCAGGCAUGGUAGCUCACGCCU
RNAcentral lists this long non-coding RNA (1414 nucleotides) under Homo sapiens (human). RNAcentral describes it as "HSALNT0216503". The record is from RNAcentral. Lineage: Eukaryota; Metazoa; Chordata; Mammalia; Primates; Hominidae.